This 2890-nucleotide ribosomal RNA is filed under the name Vibrio parahaemolyticus Peru-466. Its description in RNAcentral is "bacterial LSU rRNA". It matches the Rfam family "Bacterial large subunit ribosomal RNA". The record is from RNAcentral. Lineage: Bacteria; Pseudomonadati; Pseudomonadota; Gammaproteobacteria; Vibrionales; Vibrionaceae.
GGUUAAGUGACUAAGCGUACACGGUGGAUGCCUUGGCAGUCAGAGGCGAUGAAAGACGUAGUAACUUGCGAUAAGCCCAGAUUAGGUAGUAACAACCAUUUGAGUCUGGGAUUUCUGAAUGGGGAAACCCACGUGCAUAAGCACGUAUCCUUACCUGAAUACAUAGGGUAAGGAGGCGAACCGGGGGAACUGAAACAUCUAAGUACCCCGAGGAAAAGAAAUCAACCGAGAUUCCGAAAGUAGCGGCGAGCGAAAUUGGACUAGCCCUUAAGCUUUACACGCGUUAGACGAACGGUCUGGAAAGUCCGACGAUACAGGGUGAUAGUCCCGUAGUUGACGACGUGUGUUCAGUGAAAUCGAGUAGGGCGGGACACGUGAUAUCCUGUCUGAAUAUGGGGGGACCAUCCUCCAAGGCUAAAUACUACUGACUGACCGAUAGUGAACCAGUACCGUGAGGGAAAGGCGAAAAGAACCCCUGUGAGGGGAGUGAAAUAGAACCUGAAACCGUGUACGUACAAGCAGUAGGAGCAGGCUUUGUCCUGUGACUGCGUACCUUUUGUAUAAUGGGUCAGCGACUUAUAUUCAGUGGCAAGGUUAACCAUCUAGGGGAGCCGUAGGGAAACCGAGUCUUAACUGGGCGUUCAGUCUCUGGAUAUAGACCCGAAACCAGGUGAUCUAGCCAUGGGCAGGUUGAAGGUUGAGUAACAUCAACUGGAGGACCGAACCGACUAAUGUUGAAAAAUUAGCGGAUGACUUGUGGCUAGGGGUGAAAGGCCAAUCAAACCUGGAGAUAGCUGGUUCUCCCCGAAAGCUAUUUAGGUAGCGCCUCGGACGAAUACUACUGGGGGUAGAGCACUGUUAAGGCUAGGGGGUCAUCCCGACUUACCAACCCUUUGCAAACUCCGAAUACCAGUAAGUACUAUCCGGGAGACACACGGCGGGUGCUAACGUCCGUCGUGGAGAGGGAAACAACCCAGACCGCCAGCUAAGGUCCCAAAUUACUACUAAGUGGGAAACGAUGUGGGAAGGCUCAGACAGCCAGGAUGUUGGCUUAGAAGCAGCCAUCAUUUAAAGAAAGCGUAAUAGCUCACUGGUCGAGUCGGCCUGCGCGGAAGAUGUAACGGGGCUAAGUAGUAAACCGAAGCUGCGGCAAUGUGCUUUUGCACAUUGGGUAGGGGAGCGUUCUGUAAGCGGUUGAAGGUGUGUGGUAACGCAUGCUGGACGUAUCAGAAGUGCGAAUGCUGACAUGAGUAACGAUAAAGGGGGUGAAAAACCUCCUCGCCGGAAGACCAAGGGUUCCUGUCCAACGUUAAUCGGGGCAGGGUAAGUCGACCCCUAAGGCGAGGCCGAAAGGCGUAGUCGAUGGGAAACGGGUUAAUAUUCCCGUACUUCUUACAAUUGCGAUGGGGGGACGGAGAAGGCUAGGUGGGCCUGGCGACGGUUGUCCAGGUUCAAGUGCGUAGGCUUAAGAGUUAGGUAAAUCCGGCUCUUUUUAAGGCUGAGACACGACGUCGAGCAUCUACGGAUGUGAAGUCAUUGAUGCCAUGCUUCCAGGAAAAGCCUCUAAGCUUCAGAUUGUAAGGAAUCGUACCCCAAACCGACACAGGUGGUCGGGUAGAGAAUACCAAGGCGCUUGAGAGAACUCGGGUGAAGGAACUAGGCAAAAUGGUACCGUAACUUCGGGAGAAGGUACGCUCUCGACGGUGAAGUCCCUCGCGGAUGGAGCUAUUGAGAGUCGCAGAUACCAGGUGGCUGCAACUGUUUAUUAAAAACACAGCACUGUGCAAAAUCGUAAGAUGACGUAUACGGUGUGACGCCUGCCCGGUGCCGGAAGGUUAAUUGAUGGGGUUAGACUUCGGUCGAAGCUCUUGAUCGAAGCCCCGGUAAACGGCGGCCGUAACUAUAACGGUCCUAAGGUAGCGAAAUUCCUUGUCGGGUAAGUUCCGACCUGCACGAAUGGCGUAAUGAUGGCCACGCUGUCUCCACCCGAGACUCAGUGAAAUUGAAAUCGCUGUGAAGAUGCAGUGUACCCGCGGCUAGACGGAAAGACCCCGUGAACCUUUACUACAGCUUGGCACUGAACAUUGACCCUACAUGUGUAGGAUAGGUGGGAGGCUUUGAAGCACGUACGCCAGUAUGUGUGGAGCCGUCCUUGAAAUACCACCCUUGUAGUGUUGAUGUUCUAACGUCGACCCCUUAUCGGGGUUGCGGACAGUGCCUGGUGGGUAGUUUGACUGGGGCGGUCUCCUCCCAAAGAGUAACGGAGGAGCACGAAGGUGGGCUAAUCACGGUUGGACAUCGUGAGGUUAGUGCAAUGGCAUAAGCCCGCUUGACUGCGAGAAUGACAAUUCGAGCAGGUGCGAAAGCAGGUCAUAGUGAUCCGGUGGUUCUGAAUGGAAGGGCCAUCGCUCAACGGAUAAAAGGUACUCCGGGGAUAACACGCUGAUACCGCCCAAGAGUUCAUAUCGACGGCGGUGUUUGGCACCUCGAUGUCGCUCAUCACAUCCUGGGGCUGAAGUCGGUCCCAAGGGUAUGGCUGUUCGCCAUUUAAAGUGGUACGCGAGCUGGGUUUAGAACGUCGUGAGACAGUUCGGUCCCUAUCUGCCGUGGGCGUUGGAAGAUUGAAGGGGGCUGCUCCUAGUACGAGAGGACCGGAGUGGACGAACCUCUGGUGUUCGGGUUGUGUCGCCAGACGCAUUGCCCGGUAGCUAAGUUCGGAAUCGAUAACCGCUGAAAGCAUCUAAGCGGGAAGCGAGCCCUGAGAUGAGUCUUCCCUGAUACUUUAAGUAUCCUAAAGGGUUGUCGGAGACUACGACGUUGAUAGGUCAGGUGUGUAAGUGCUGUGAGGCAUUGAGCUAACUGAUACUAAUUGCCCGUGAGGCUUAACCAU